CGGACGGGUGAGUAAUGUCUGGGAAACUGCCUGAUGGAGGGGGAUAACUACUGGAAACGGUAGCUAAUACCGCAUAACGUCGCAAGACCAAAGAGGGGGACCUUAGGGCCUCUUGUCAUCGGAUGUGCCCAGAUGGGAUUAGCUAGUAGGUGGGGUAACGGCUCACCUAGGCGACGAUCCCUAGCUGGUCUGAGAGGAUGACCAGCCACACUGGAACUGAGACACGGUCCAG
This 232-nucleotide ribosomal RNA is filed under the name uncultured bacterium. RNAcentral's name for it is "partial 16S ribosomal RNA". It matches the Rfam family "Bacterial small subunit ribosomal RNA", at positions 99 to 334 of the family's 1533-position model. The record is from RNAcentral.